GCGUUUAGUCCUGAAAAAAGGAAAGCAGAAAAGAGGCUUCAGAUUUAACAUUGUCAGCAAUAAGGUCCUGGGAUUCCAAUUAGUUGACUUUUUUUGUACAAAACUAUUAAAAAGAAGAGUCAAGAAAAACUCUUUAUUUGCAAUACCUGAGGAAGUGUUACAUUUACCAUAUCUACAGAAUUGCACCUUCAUGUUUGUAAUCUCGACAAUUUAUAUGCAACAUUUUGUUGAAAGAAUCCUCAGUAUUUAUUGUGAUGAACAAAAUAAAUAUUGGCUGUCAAGAGGCAAAUUGUAUGUUGACCAAAUAUGAAAAAUAAAGUUAUACAUGUUUCAAUCACC
Long non-coding RNA from Patella vulgata (common limpet), 339 nucleotides. RefSeq lists it as uncharacterized. The transcript is spliced from 2 exons. The record is from RefSeq and is a predicted model, not a curated record. Lineage: Eukaryota; Metazoa; Mollusca; Gastropoda; Patellidae.